Molecule: ribosomal RNA, 779 nt
Filed under: Staphylococcus saprophyticus
Lineage: Bacteria; Bacillati; Bacillota; Bacilli; Caryophanales; Staphylococcaceae
Description: bacterial SSU rRNA
Rfam family: Bacterial small subunit ribosomal RNA
Source: RNAcentral
CAAGUCGAGCGAACAGAUAAGGAGCUUGCUCCUUUGACGUUAGCGGCGGACGGGUGAGUAACACGUGGGUAACCUACCUAUAAGACUGGGAUAACUUCGGGAAACCGGAGCUAAUACCGGAUAACAUUUGGAACCGCAUGGUUCUAAAGUGAAAGAUGGUUUUGCUAUCACUUAUAGAUGGACCCGCGCCGUAUUAGCUAGUUGGUAAGGUAACGGCUUACCAAGGCGACGAUACGUAGCCGACCUGAGAGGGUGAUCGGCCACACUGGAACUGAGACACGGUCCAGACUCCUACGGGAGGCAGCAGUAGGGAAUCUUCCGCAAUGGGCGAAAGCCUGACGGAGCAACGCCGCGUGAGUGAUGAAGGGUUUCGGCUCGUAAAACUCUGUUAUUAGGGAAGAACAAACGUGUAAGUAACUGUGCAUGUCUUGACGGUACCUAAUCAGAAAGCCACGGCUAACUACGUGCCAGCAGCCGCGGUAAUACGUAGGUGGCAAGCGUUAUCCGGAAUUAUUGGGCGUAAAGCGCGCGUAGGCGGUUUCUUAAGUCUGAUGUGAAAGCCCACGGCUCAACCGUGGAGGGUCAUUGGAAACUGGGAAACUUGAGUGCAGAAGAGGAAAGUGGAAUUCCAUGUGUAGCGGUGAAAUGCGCAGAGAUAUGGAGGAACACCAGUGGCGAAAGCGACUUUCUGGUCAGUGACUGACGCUCACGUGCGCAAGCGCGCCGAUCACACAGGAUUAGAUAUCCUGUGAUNCCCCUCGGUAUACGAUGAGUGCUCU